Molecule: ribosomal RNA, 425 nt
Filed under: uncultured bacterium
Lineage: Bacteria
Description: partial 16S ribosomal RNA
Rfam family: Bacterial small subunit ribosomal RNA
Source: RNAcentral
GUGGGGAAUAUUGGACAAUGGGCGCAAGCCUGAUCCAGCCAUGCCGCGUGAGUGAUGAAGGCCCUAGGGUUGUAAAGCUCUUUCACCGGAGAAGAUAAUGACGGUAUCCGGAGAAGAAGCCCCGGCUAACUUCGUGCCAGCAGCCGCGGUAAUACGCAGGGGGCUAGCGUUGUUCGGAAUUACUGGGCGUAAAGCGCACGUAGGCGGACAUUUAAGUCAGGGGUGAAAUCCCGGGGCUCAACCCCGGAACUGCCUUUGAUACUGGGUGUCUGGAGUAUGGAAGAGGUAAGUGGAAUUCCGAGUGUAGAGGUGAAAUUCGUAGAUAUUCGGAGGAACACCAGUGGCGAAGGCGGCUUACUGGUCCAUUACUGACGCUGAGGUGCGAAAGCGUGGGGAGCAAACAGGAUUAGAUACCCCAGUAGUCC